RNAcentral lists this long non-coding RNA (255 nucleotides) under Elaeis guineensis (African oil palm). RNAcentral describes it as "long non-coding RNA (EGUI_LNC064513)". Lineage: Eukaryota; Viridiplantae; Streptophyta; Magnoliopsida; Arecales; Arecaceae. The record is from RNAcentral.
GUGAAUUCCAGGGGUGUGCACCCUAGGAACCUUCCAAAAGAAGAGGGGGCAUGCGCCUCCUCUGGAUCUCAUCCAGAGGUGGCAUGCGCCCCACUCUCCCUUCCAAAGAAUCCAUGCCAAGAAGGGAAAGUCUAGGGAGAAAAAUAAGGAGGGUUUGAGCCUCCUAAUUGAUUUGAUCCAAUCUUCUUGGGCACCCAAUUAGGUGCCCCUCUAAAUGCAAAUUAAAAUGGAUUCAUAUUAGGAAUAAGGAUAGAC